This 1371-nucleotide ribosomal RNA is filed under the name Triticum aestivum (bread wheat). RNAcentral describes it as "partial small subunit ribosomal RNA". The record is from RNAcentral. Lineage: Eukaryota; Viridiplantae; Streptophyta; Magnoliopsida; Poales; Poaceae.
AUGGUGCUGCGGCGCUUCGCCUGGCCCUUCGGCGGCCAGCGCGCCUCCUUCUGUGGCAGCUUCACCGGCUGGAGGGAGUGCCCCAUGGGGCUCGUCGGGACUGAGUUCCAGGUGGUGUUCGAUCUCCCACCAGGGCUUUAUCAGUACCGCUUUUUGGUGGAUGGUGUCUGGAGAUGUGAUGACACAAAACCUAUUGUACGUGAUGAAUAUGGCCUGAUCAGCAAUGAAAUGCUUGUCACACUUGUGGAGAAUAAUACACACCCGGCUGUACAGCUAGAGCCACCUCCCAUUAGAAGAAUGAAUUUGGAUGAGGGUACUAUCUUGACAACAAUGCCACCGGAACCACCAUCUCGAAACUCAGGCAUGCAGAUUGCAGUUUUCCGCCAUCGGGUCUCUGAAAUACUAUUACAUAAUACCAUAUAUGAUGUUGUUCCUGUUUCUAGCAAGAUAGCAAUUUUGGACGCUCGGCUUCCUGUCAAACAAGCAUUUAAUAUUAUGCAUGAUGAGGGCCUUGCUUUGGUUCCUCUUUGGGAUGAUGGCCAAGGAACCGUAACAGGCAUGCUAACUGCUUCUGAUUUUGUAUUAAUUUUGAGAAAGUUGCAGAGGAACAUUCGAGUUCUGGGCCAUGAAGAGCUUGAAAUGCAUUCAGUUUCUGCUUGGAAAGAAGCAAAACUGCAGUAUUAUGGAGGGGCUGAUGUCGCAGGCAUGCAAAGAAGGCCAUUAGUUCAUGUUAAGGAUUCGGAUAAUUUAAGGGAUGUGGCACUGACUAUAAUACAAAAUGAAAUAUCUUCAGUCCCUAUCUUUAAGUCCUCGACGGAUAUAUCAGGGAUACCGUUACUUAAUCUUGCAACUCUUCCAGGGAUUUUGAAAUUUCUUUGCUCAAAGCUCCAAGAACAACCAGAAGGUUAUCCCAUUUUGCGAAAUCAGAUUUCCAGUAUUCCUAUUGGUACAUGGUCGCAGCAUACUGGAAGGGCAAGUACUAGACAGCUUAGAACAUCGGGACUGAGUGCUCCUCUAAUUACUUGCCUGGAUUUUCUUCUGGAAGAUAGAAUAAGCUCAAUUCCUAUAGUUGAUGAUAAUGGAUCCCUUCUUGAUGUCUACUCACUCAGUGAUAUCAUGGCUCUGGCGAAGAAUGAUGUUUACGCUUGCAUUGAACUUGAGCAAUUGACCGUGGAGAAUGCUUUGGAGCUGCAAUAUCAGGUGAAUGGGCGGAGACAGUGUCAUACCUGUUUGAGCACGAGUACGUUGCUCGAGGUGUUGGAUCAAUUGUCUGUUCCAGGGGUGCGGCGGCUUGUCGUUAUUGAACCGAUGACUAGAUUUGUGCAAGGAAUUAUCUCAUUGAGAGACGCAAUAACAUUUCUCCUUGGAUAA